GGGCUUGUAGCUCAAUGGUAAAGCGUUUGACUCAACGAUCAAAUGUCGCGGGUUCGAAUCCCAUGUAGUCCA
This 72-nucleotide transfer RNA is filed under the name Schistocephalus solidus. It matches the Rfam family "tRNA". Rfam says of the family: Transfer RNA (tRNA) molecules are approximately 80 nucleotides in length. Their secondary structure includes four short double-helical elements and three loops (D, anti-codon, and T loops). Further hydrogen bonds mediate the characteristic L-shaped molecular structure. tRNAs have two regions of fundamental functional importance: the anti-codon, which is responsible for specific mRNA codon recognition, and the 3' end, to which the tRNAs corresponding amino acid is attached (by aminoacyl-tRNA synthetases). tRNAs cope with the degeneracy of the genetic code in two manners: having more than one tRNA (with a specific anti-codon) for a particular amino acid; and 'wobble' base-pairing, i.e. permitting non-standard base-pairing at the 3rd anti-codon position. The record is from Rfam by way of RNAcentral. Lineage: Eukaryota; Metazoa; Platyhelminthes; Cestoda; Diphyllobothriidea; Diphyllobothriidae.